AGGACGAACGCUGGCGGCGUGCUUAACACAUGCAAGUCGAGCGGAAAGGCCCUUCGGGGUACUCGAGCGGCGAACGGGUGAGUAACACGUGAGUAAUCUGCCCCUAGCUCUGGGAUAGCUCCGGGAAACCGGGAUUAAUACUGGAUACGACCACCUUAGACAUCUUUUGUGGUGGAAAGAAUUUCGGCUAGGGAUAAGCUCGCGGCCUAUCAGCUUGUUGGUGGGGUAACGGCCUACCAAGGCGACGACGGGUA
Molecule: ribosomal RNA, 254 nt
Filed under: uncultured bacterium
Lineage: Bacteria
Description: partial small subunit ribosomal RNA
Rfam family: Bacterial small subunit ribosomal RNA
Source: RNAcentral